AGCGAACGCUGGCGGCAGGCUUAACACAUGCAAGUCGAACGGUCCUUCGGGAUAGUGGCGGACGGGUGAGUAACACGUGGGAACGUACCCUUAGGUUCGGAACAACACAGGGAAACUUGUGCUAAUAACGGAUAAGCCCUUCGGGUGACAGAUUUAUCGCCUUUGGAGCGGCCGGCGUCUGAUUAGCUGGUUGGUGAGGUAAUGGCUCACCAAGGCUACGAUCAGUAGCUGGUCUGAGGGGAUGGCCAGCCACACUGGGACUGAGACACGGCCGAGACUCCUACGGGAGGCAGCAGUGGGGAAUCUUGCGCAAUGGGCGAAAGCCUGACGCAGCCAUGCCGCGUGGAUGAUGAAGGUCUUAGGAUUGUAAAAUCCUUUCACCGGGGACGAUAAUGACGGUACCCGGAGAAGAAGCCCCGGCUAACUUCGUGCCAGCCGCCGCCGUAA
This 447-nucleotide ribosomal RNA is filed under the name uncultured bacterium. Its description in RNAcentral is "partial 16S ribosomal RNA". It matches the Rfam family "Bacterial small subunit ribosomal RNA", at positions 29 to 523 of the family's 1533-position model. The record is from RNAcentral.